Chelonoidis abingdonii (Abingdon island giant tortoise) is the source of this 98-nucleotide non-coding RNA. The record is from RefSeq and is a predicted model, not a curated record. NCBI's taxonomy places the organism in Eukaryota, Metazoa, Chordata, Testudines, Testudinidae.
GUGCAGUUCCCCCCACUACAGAAGAAAGGAUUUAAAUAGGGGUCUCCCACUCUCUAGGUGCUCUAACCACUGAGCUAUGGUAUAUUCUGAUGUGGAGC